GCUGGGAAAUGACGAGAACAUAUUCUAAGGUUGUUUCUUAAGGUAGAUAAAUGUUAUCUACCUCUUGAUUAUACCUUGCACGUCAGUCUGAUCCCAUA
This is a small nucleolar RNA of Panicum hallii, 98 nucleotides long. RefSeq annotates it as small nucleolar RNA Z122. The record is from RefSeq and is a predicted model, not a curated record. NCBI's taxonomy places the organism in Eukaryota, Viridiplantae, Streptophyta, Magnoliopsida, Poales, Poaceae. The transcript has a single exon.